GUUUUCUUUUGUUUUAUCCAUUAUUAUGAAUUGAAUCCAAAUCAAAUUUGGAGAUUCAUUUAUUAUAGUUUUCUUUUAAUCAGAGACAGAACUUAUUUGACCUCUUACAAUAAAACGUACCUUCUCAAAGAAUUUUAACUAAAGCAGUUCUUAAAAAGCAGCUUGAGCUCUUCUGCAGCAUGCUAGCAGCCCUCAGAUCAGCAUACUCUGUUGUUUUACCAUUACCAUGUAUUUGGAGUCAGAACUGUUUAUUGUAAGUCAUGUGGUUUUUAACAUAUGGUAUUUGUAUAGUUAGCACCCAUAUUGAAAGGAGUUUCUUUAUCAAGUUCUAUUCUAGGAAGGUGAUAUUUCCUUAUUUAUCAAAGUAGCAUUUG
Non-coding RNA from Ceratotherium simum simum (southern white rhinoceros), 374 nucleotides. NCBI's taxonomy places the organism in Eukaryota, Metazoa, Chordata, Mammalia, Perissodactyla, Rhinocerotidae. The record is from RefSeq and is a predicted model, not a curated record.